This is a non-coding RNA of Anas platyrhynchos (mallard), 2441 nucleotides long. The record is from RefSeq and is a predicted model, not a curated record. NCBI's taxonomy places the organism in Eukaryota, Metazoa, Chordata, Aves, Anseriformes, Anatidae.
CCUGCCUUGUGGUUUUGCUGCUCAGCCCCUAAGUGUGCUCCUGGCCAGCCCCCGCUUUCCCUCCCACACCUCCCCCCUUUCAUUUUUGGGGUUCUGGUCUGUCUUCGUGCCUUAGGAGCCAUACAGUCAAUUUGGAAAUGAAGUCACCACGUGGAGAUGAUUAUUUUCUUAAAAUAAAAUAAAAUAAAUAUAAAAUAGUAAAAAUGACAGAUUUUUGGUAUCCCCCCCUUGCUUUUCUGUUGAACCUCUGCACUAUUUUCCUGAGCACAUUCUUUUAGCCAGACCACCAGUCUCCUCCUGGGUGCCAGCGCAAGUUAUCCCCUGGGCCCUGCAAGUCUCCAGCAUUUACCUGGAGCUUUGUAUGGGGCAGCACAAACCCCUCACAGACCCAGGCCUCCUCUGGGCAGAUCCCUGCUUUGUCUUGUGUUGGUGGUCCUGCUUCUUUGCAUCUCAAAGUGCUUGAUGACACCAUUGCCUCCUACAAGUUUUACACUUCUUUUUUUUAUGCUGGUGGUGGCUAUGUAGCUGAGGGUGUCUACUGAAUGGGCAAAGAAGGAAAAGGAAAAAGGAAGUAGGAGCAAGAAAUAAGAAUAAGCAUGGCUUGGACCACCAUUUGCAGAGGCUGAACCUUCUCACCAAAUCGCGGUCCCUUGACAGGCGCACGCCGCAUCUCUGGAGCCCUGAUUCAUAUUCCUAAAAAAUGAAACCAAAACAUGCUUUGGAGCUAAGCAACGUCUCAAAUGUGUCACCAAAAAACAACGAGACCUACUCACUGACAGGCAGCAGCUGAGCAACUACCAGCUGGAGCCAUCGUCAGGAGCCUGCAAGCAUGGGGUUGCGGUGGACCUACGGCCAGGAUAUGCCUUCUGGAAAGUACCACCUUGGAGAAGCUCACUGACAUGCCCCUGCCAUGUGUUGGACACUGUGGUGUGCGUCUUUCUUUGUCACUGGCCAGUAAAUAACAACACACUGCAACACGCGGUGACUGACAUUCAAAGCAGGAGCCGCCAGGGCCACGUGAGGGCUGCUGGGGACCUGGAGAGCUCGCUGCAGCCCUCCACGGGCUGAGUGGAGGUGAGGUGAUGGUGCGUGACCCUGUGCAUGAUGCUUGCCGUGGUGGGGCAGCUGGGGCUGCUGCACUCAGUCUGGCCUGGUGGCUGCAAACAGCAUCGGCAGCUGCUUCUGGCCCUGCCCUUCCCUCACCUGAGGCAUGGCAAGGAGCUUUCUGCCUCAGUUUCUCCAUCUGGUGGGGCAAAGACUCUUCUUGCUGCCUGCCUUCCCGUGGUCAUGACAGCGGGGGGCUCCCACCUUGCUUGGUGCUGUCCAGGGAAGCACGACUGAGUAAGCAGGCGAGUGCCUUGACUCCAAACACAGCCUGUGUCUGAGGGGAAGCCAGCACAAAGGUGUUUUUGCCUGGAAAUGGGAUCCUGUGUGGGUGUUUUGGGGGAUUGACAAGAGAAGUUUUGAAGGACUUGGCUGAAGCAGCUUUUAGAGAGCACAGCAGAGGAAGUCCCUCCGUGUGACCAACUCGGCUUCAGGGAAUACUGCUCUUCAGCCUCUCAUUCAGGAAACAAAAUUGCAUUGCAGAAGUAUCUGCCUCUUUCUUUCCAAGCUCCUUCUACAAACUGUCUGAGAGAGCUUCUGGCCGGGGCAAAGAGGAAACUGAAAAAUUAGUGUGAUCUGUGAAUUGUGUUACCUGCACCUCUCUACAGGGUGCUGCCAAAAGCCCUCCUAACAUGCAUUUAAAAAAUUAGGGGGAAAAAAAACUCUUUCAAGUAACCGCGGUUCUUCAGGGUAGAAGAUAAAUGGGAAAAAAAAAAUCAAUUUCUUCACCACAGAGAGAGAGGCGUUGCGAUGGCCACCAGGGAUAUCCAGCAAUGUCAAUCCCAGGUUUGUCAGCUCCUGGAUGAGCUGAGGGCUGCGAUCACCUCUCCUUCAUCCAAAUCUGGUAAAAGGAACGACAAAUUCAUCUUUAUCACCCCUCUGCUGGGUUUAUAGCUGUCUUUUUGGCAAAUUGGGGUGUAUGGGGACAGGAACCACCCUGGCAGACUGCAGGUCCUGCUUAUGAGCCCGGGGAAGUCAGUGAAGCAAUCCUGGUCAGCUGCUGCGGAUGUGGGAUUUGGCUCAAGCGGUGGAUGUGAGGCUCUGGGGCUGGCGGGAUAGUUGCUCCUUGAUGUAAAUAAAGUGACAUAUUCAUUUUCAGUCGUGUGCCAGUGCUGGCACUGUGCUCCCCACCUGCAGAACGAAGGCGUUUGUGGGCUGCUUUCUUUCCAUGAACUGCUGGCAGUUGCACCUGUGUCCUUUCAGAGCAUGUAGGGGCUGGGGGACACGUUGGAGGGGUGUCAUGCCUGCUAGCAGAGGGGCCCACCAAGCCUGCCUUAUGGCCAGCUCAAUCCACAACCACCAGCAGGACAGUUUGAAGGCUCUUGGUGAGGGUCAUC